Molecule: ribosomal RNA, 252 nt
Filed under: uncultured bacterium
Lineage: Bacteria
Description: partial 16S ribosomal RNA
Rfam family: Bacterial small subunit ribosomal RNA
Source: RNAcentral
UACGUAGGGUGCAAGCGUUAAUCGGAAUACUGGGCGUAAAGCGUGCGCAGGCGGUGAUGUAAGACAGAUGUGAAAUCCCCGGGCUCAACCUGGGAACUGCAUUUGUGACUGCAUCGCUGGAGUACGGCAGAGGGGGGGAUGGAAUCCGCGUGUAGCAGUGAAAUGCGUAGAUAUGCGGAGGAACACCGAUGGCGAAGGCAAUCCCCUGGCCUGUACUGACGCUCAUGCACGAAAGCGUGGGGAGCAAACAGG